Molecule: ribosomal RNA, 253 nt
Filed under: uncultured bacterium
Lineage: Bacteria
Description: partial 16S ribosomal RNA
Rfam family: Bacterial small subunit ribosomal RNA
Source: RNAcentral
GACAGAGGGUGCAAACGUUGUUCGGAAUUACUGGGCGUAAAGCGCUUGUAGGCGGCUCGGAAAGUCGGGUGUGAAAGCCCUGGGCUCAACCUAGGAAGUGCACUCGAAACUUCCGAGCUGGAGUUCUGGAGAGGAAGGCGGAAUUCUCGGUGUAGAGGUGAAAUUCGUAGAUAUCGAGAGGAACACCGGUGGCGAAGGCGGCCUUCUGGACAGCAACUGACGCUGAGACGCGAAAGCGUGGGGAGCAAACAGG